GGAGAGUGCAAACGUUGUUCGGAUUCACUGGGCGUAAAGGGCACGUAGGCGGCUCGGCAAAUCGGUCGUGGAAUCCCGACGCUUACCGUCGGAACGGCGGCCGAAAAUACCGGGCUCGAGGGCGUGAGGGGUCACUGGAACUCCUGGUGAAGCGGUGAAAUGCGUAGAUAUCAGGAGGAACGCCGGAGGCGAAAGCGAGUGACUGGCGCGUUCCUGACGCUGAGGUACGAAAGCUAGGGGAGCAAACAGGAUUAGAUACCCUGGUAGUCCUAGCCGUAAACGAUGGACACUGAGUGGAGGAGGGCUUGCCUUUCUCUGCUGCAGCUAACGCGUUAAGUGUCCCGCCUGGGGAGUACGGCCGCAAGGUUA
Molecule: ribosomal RNA, 369 nt
Filed under: uncultured bacterium
Lineage: Bacteria
Description: bacterial SSU rRNA
Rfam family: Bacterial small subunit ribosomal RNA
Source: RNAcentral